This 250-nucleotide ribosomal RNA is filed under the name uncultured bacterium. RNAcentral describes it as "partial 16S ribosomal RNA". It matches the Rfam family "Bacterial small subunit ribosomal RNA", at positions 525 to 775 of the family's 1533-position model. The record is from RNAcentral.
ACGUAGGUCCCAAGCGUUGUCCGGAUUUAUUGGGCGUAAAGCGAGCGCAGGUGGUUUCUUAAGUCUGAUGUAAAAGGCAGUGGCUCAACCAUUGUGUGCAUUGGAAACUGGGAGACUUGAGUGCAGGAGAGGAGAGUGGAAUUCCAUGUGUAGCGGUGAAAUGCGUAGAUAUAUGGAGGAACACCGGAGGCGAAAGCGGCUCUCUGGCCUGUAACUGACACUGAGGCUCGAAAGCGUGGGGAGCAAACAG